AGUGAACGCUGGCGGUAGGCCUAACACAUGCAAGUCGAACGGCAGCACAGUAAGAGCUUGCUCUUACGGGUGGCGAGUGGCGGACGGGUGAGGAAUACAUCGGAAUCUACUUUUUCGUGGGGGAUAACGUAGGGAAACUUACGCUAAUACCGCAUACGACCUACGGGUGAAAGCAGGGGAUCUUCGGACCUUGCGCGAUUGAAUGAGCCGAUGUCGGAUUAGCUAGUUGGCGGGGUAAAGGCCCACCAAGGCGACGAUCCGUAGCUGGUCUGAGAGGAUGAUCAGCCACACUGGAACUGAGACACGGUCCAGACUCCUACGGGAGGCAGCAGUGGGGAAUUUUGGACAAUGGGCGCAAGCCUGAUCCAGCCAUACCGCGUGGAUGAAGAAGGACUUCGGGUUGUAAAGCCCUUUUGUUGGGAAAGAAAAGCAGCAGGUUAAUACCCCGCUGUUCUGACGGUACCCAAAGAAUAAGCACCGGCUAACUUCGUG
This 492-nucleotide ribosomal RNA is filed under the name uncultured bacterium. Its description in RNAcentral is "partial 16S ribosomal RNA". It matches the Rfam family "Bacterial small subunit ribosomal RNA", at positions 29 to 507 of the family's 1533-position model. The record is from RNAcentral.